AAACCAUGAUGUGGAUAUCAUUGGAUCAACAUCUUAAAAUGUUCCCAAGCUUCGUGAAAGCCUUCUCCUUCUAAUUGCUUGAAUGUAGAGACCUCCUUCCUUAGUUG
Non-coding RNA from Gossypium raimondii (Peruvian cotton), 107 nucleotides. The record is from Rfam. Lineage: Eukaryota; Viridiplantae; Streptophyta; Magnoliopsida; Malvales; Malvaceae.